This 311-nucleotide ribosomal RNA is filed under the name Neotrigonia margaritacea. RNAcentral's name for it is "eukaryotic LSU rRNA". It matches the Rfam family "Eukaryotic large subunit ribosomal RNA", at positions 666 to 946 of the family's 3401-position model. Lineage: Eukaryota; Metazoa; Mollusca; Bivalvia; Trigoniida; Trigoniidae. The record is from RNAcentral.
CCAAGGAGUCUAACAUGUGCGCGAGUCAUGGGGUCGUACGAAACCUAAAGGCGCAAUGAAAGUGAAGGCCGCCUCGGGUGUGCCUAGGUACGAUCCUUCCCGCUUUCGGCGGGGAGGCGCAGUACCGGCCCGUCUCGUCCGCUCGACGGGGAGGCGGAGCAAGAGCGUACACGUUGGGACCCGAAAGAUGGUGAACUAUGCUUGAGUAGGACGAAGCCAGAGGAAACUCUGGUGGAGGUCCGUAGCGAUUCUGACGUGCAAAUCGAUCGUCAAACUUGAGUAUAGGGGCGAAAGACUAAUCGAACCAUCUA